This is a long non-coding RNA of Mustela erminea (ermine), 1352 nucleotides long. RefSeq lists it as uncharacterized. The record is from RefSeq and is a predicted model, not a curated record. The transcript is spliced from 3 exons. Lineage: Eukaryota; Metazoa; Chordata; Mammalia; Carnivora; Mustelidae.
GCUCUCUCCCGUCCUUCUACAGCUGAGGGCUGCCUCCUCUCCAGCUAACAUUCAGCCCUCCUUCUCUGCUCACUUGGAUUCUAGCUCCUCCUGCCGCCUCAGGAACCUGACCACAUCUCUCUCUUGGUUAUCUGACUCCUCUCUUUCAACUGGCUUUAAACACCCUCAAGUCUUCCUUAACAACAACAAAACAGAAACAAGAAAACGCUGAACUUGACUUCUUUCUUCAUCCCGUCGUCCGGAGCUGCCUCCCCAGAACCACCAACAUGGCCUCCGACAAGCCAGAGCUACUGCCUCUUGAUGCCGCCGGCCAUUGGGAGCACAGCAAGGAGUGGUUUUCAGAGCAAGGAAGACAAGCUUGGGAUGCGUCAGGAAUUGGAAGUUUGCUUUGAGGACCAAAAGAUGGCUCAAACUUGGCCUGCUUUGUCAUCCGCGUGCCAGGCUGACUCAAGAGCACCAAUUACCAGCCAGCUGCCUUGGACUCCUCCUCACCAGGACCAUCUGGAGAAUCUGGCCUGCCCUGGCACUUCCCUUUCGAGCUUCUCUGCCUUUAGAGCUCCCUCUGGAGAUCAGCAUCAUGGUACCUGGGAAAGGUGCCUUCUACCCACCCCAAGUGGUCCCUCCUCAAGCUCUGGUAGCCCCUUCCUCAGGGACAGGCCCUUGGGGUCCCUGUUGUCACUCACAGAGCCCAAGGCCACCAGCACUCUCCUGCCUGGCCCUGCUGUGACCUGACCAGGGCUAUUCUUAACCACACGGUCCUUAGAGAUUCCCCCCACCCAGAGGAACUCCGGCCACCCCCCCUCAACACCCCCUUUCUUUGAAGGACUUUCCAUAUCAAGGACCGAUUAACAGGUAACAAACCUACAGGGCUCAAAUGUUCUCCAGCAGAUGGCUAGGGGGGCAAGGCAGCCUCAGGCUCUGAUCUUAUGGAGGCAGCCAGAGGCAGGGGCUAGAGGGAGAGGCCACUGCUCAGGCCUGAACCGGAAAUGUCUGAGAGUUCGUUCUUCGGCAGCAGGGGCUGUAAACAGUUUUAUUCUAGCUGUUGGGGAAACAGAGAAGAUAGGACAGAGUAACAAGGAGGACGGAAGGCUCUCCAGUGUUGCCUGCUCCCCCAUUGGCAGGGCAGGGCCUGUGGUAGUUUCUGUGCAGUAAGGGACCACCCCAAAAUGGGCCAGGUGGGUGGAGACCAGAGAAACCAUAGACAGGGAAUUUUUAAGUUAAAAACAAGGAAAAAGAACACGAAUAGCCUUGCAUUUCAUGAUUCCUGUGUCCACUGAGGUCUACCCCAGGGAGACGGAGGGAAAGUCGUGACCUCUGCUGUCACUGGGCUGGGCCAGGCUCAGGCCCCUGGG